GACGUAGGGCGCGAGCGUUGUCCGGAUUUAUUGGGCGUAAAGAGCUUGUAGGCGGUUUGUCGCGUCUGCUGUGAAAAUCCGGGGCUCAACCCCGGACUUGCAGUGGGUACGGGCAGACUAGAGUGUGGUAGGGGAGACUGGAAUUCCUGGUGUAGCGGUGAAAUGCGCAGAUAUCAGGAGGAACACCGAUGGCGAAGGCAGGUCUCUGGGCCACUACUGACGCUGAGAAGCGAAAGCAUGGGGAGCGAACAGG
Molecule: ribosomal RNA, 253 nt
Filed under: uncultured bacterium
Lineage: Bacteria
Description: partial 16S ribosomal RNA
Rfam family: Bacterial small subunit ribosomal RNA
Source: RNAcentral